AGAGUUUGAUCAUGGCUCAGGACGAACGCUGGCGGCGUGCUUUACACAUGCAAGUCGAACGCUGAAGCGGUCUUCGGACUGUGGAUGAGUGGCGAACGGGUGAGUAACACGUGGGUAACCUGCCUUGUACUCUGGGAUAAGCCUUGGAAACGGGGUCUAAUACUGGAUAUGACCUGUCCUCGCAUGGGGGUGGGUGGAAAGUUCUGGCGGUGCGAGAUGGACCCGCGGCCUAUCAGCUUGUUGGUGGGGUGAUGGCCUACCAAGGCGACGACGGGUAGCCGGCCUGAGAGGGCGACCGGUCACACUGGGACUGAGACACGGCCCAGACUCCUACGGGAGGCAGCAGUGGGGAAUAUUGCACAAUGGGCGAAAGCCUGAUGCAGCGACGCCGCGUGAGGGAUGACGGCCUUCGGGUUGUAAACCUCUUUCGCCAGGGACGAAGCGAGAGUGACGGUACCUGGAGAAGAAGCACCGGCUAACUACGUGCCAGCAGCCGCGGUAAUACGUAGGGUGCGAGCGUUGUCCGGAAUUAUUGGGCGUAAAGAGCUCGUAGGCGGUUUGUCGCGUCUAUCGUGAAAUCUGGAGGCUUAACUUUCAGCGUGCGGUGGAUACGGGCAGACUUGAGUUCGGUAGGGGAGACUGGAAUUCCUGGUGUAGCGGUGAAAUGCGCAGAUAUCAGGAGGAACACCGGUGGCGAAGGCGGGUCUCUGGGCCGAUACUGACGCUGAGGAGCGAAAGCGUGGGGAGCGAACAGGAUUAGAUACCCUGGUAGUCCACGCUGUAAACGUUGGGCGCUAGGUGUGGGGAGCUUUUUUGUUUUCCGUGCCGUAGCUAACGCAUUAAGCGCCCCGCCUGGGGAGUACGGCCGCAAGGCUAAAACUCAAAGGAAUUGACGGGGCCCGCACAAGCGGCGGAGCAUGUGGAUUAAUUCGAUGCACGCGAAGAACCUUACCUGGGUUUGACAUGCCACAGGAC
This 975-nucleotide ribosomal RNA is filed under the name uncultured bacterium. RNAcentral describes it as "bacterial SSU rRNA". It matches the Rfam family "Bacterial small subunit ribosomal RNA", at positions 8 to 996 of the family's 1533-position model. The record is from RNAcentral.